UCCGAAUUGGUGUAGUGGCUAACAUUUGACGCUCUCACUGUUGUGUUUCUCUAGAGAGAACAACGUGUGCCGUCAAGCCCGGGGUUCGAUUCCCCGAUUCGGAG
Molecule: non-coding RNA, 104 nt
Organism: Poronia punctata
Lineage: Eukaryota; Fungi; Ascomycota; Sordariomycetes; Xylariales; Xylariaceae
Source: the annotation of a GenBank genome assembly